RNAcentral lists this long non-coding RNA (2325 nucleotides) under Nicotiana tabacum (common tobacco). Its description in RNAcentral is "long non-coding RNA (NTAB_LNC000057)". Lineage: Eukaryota; Viridiplantae; Streptophyta; Magnoliopsida; Solanales; Solanaceae. The record is from RNAcentral.
GCAAAUGUUAUAUCAAUGAACCAUCGUUCAUAAAACAUGAAUACAUAUGAGCCGUCAAGGCCUCUAACAUAAUGUACAUAGUAAACCUGUGUCUAUAAAGCCUCUAAGAUUAUUUUACAUAAAAUGGGACAGGGUACCGACCUACCCAUAAGUCUGUAGUAAAACUCUGACAUAUGACUCAUAGACUCGGCUGCACUUCGAAUGAGAUGGAGUCUUACCGAUCCUUCGCUGAAUGUCAAUCUCGUCUACGAUGAAGGCUCGUCAAAUUGAUUAUCUGUACCUGCAGGCAUGAAUGCAAUGUCCCCAACAAAAGGAUGUCAAUACGAAUAAUGUACUGAGUAUGUAAGACAUAUAAAUAAGUAUAUAAAAGACAUGGAAGAAAACAUGGAGUAAAUGACUCAGCCAGUAAAUCUGGAUGGCUCUGUAAAUCAUGAAAUAUUUAUAAGGUCAUGCAUAUGCGUAUAAAUGUCAUGUAAUGCAUAGGUCUGUUCGUAUAUAACAUCAUCAAGCCUCUGAGGGCAUCUCAUCAUAUUAUCUAAGCCACUGCAGGCAAAAUCAUCAACAUAUACCAGCUGAUCAGGUGGUGGUGCGCAUAUAACGCCGUAACCUUUUUCCCAUAUCCCAUGUACAUAUAUUUGCAUAUAUACACGUAUAUAAUGCCAUCUGGUNNNNNNNNNNNNNNNNNNNNNNNNNNNNNNNNNUAUAUGUAUGUAUAUACGCGUAUAUAACGCCGUCUGAGUCAUGGGUAAAUGUACAUGUAAAUGAAUGCAAUGCAUGAGAAGUACAUUAAUAAACUACUGGGAACGUCAUAAGACCAUUAUACCUUCAAAUAAUAUUAUUUUGCAGGAAUGAAUAACAUAGACAUCCUUAACUGCUAAGAAUAGAAACAUUUAUGAAAUAGCAUUACGUUUACGUAUUGUUACUUGAAUCAUGCCAAAUGAAGGAAGGGCUUAGCCUUAACAUACCUGUCACUACCCGAAGCAUUUCAAAGUGAUACAAUGGGUAGAAGCAAAGUGUUAAAGGGAAAACGACAUGCCUCAUACAUUGGAAUUUUGUCAAAGGACAUAAUCAGGGAACAUAUAGGAGGUUAAGCUUCAAAAGGAGCUCUCAUUCAGAAAGAACAAAUUCUUUGUAUAUUUCCUGCUCCUCUGAUUAAAAUUCGACCUAAAAGAACAAACAGUUUUUCACAACAGUAGAAAACAAUAAAAAAUAAAAUGGAUGACAUGACAUAGACUUAUGAACAUCACUGUUAUUUUUCCAUUAAUAUCUUUUUACUUCGUCAAGAGGUUAAGUUCCUGACAAACAAACAUAAGCCAUCUUUGACUUUGAAGCCCCAUUGGACCAUACACAAAUGCUGCACUGGGCAUAUGAAAUAGUAGAGGGCUGAUUAGGUUAUACACCAGGACUAAAUAAAUUACACAGAAAGAAUAUCUUCAGAACAGUAAGUUUAGGAUUUAGCUACAUAUAUCCACACUGAUUGUCUGAAGCUUCCUCCCAUUCCCAAUGCCAACAACAAAAUCUCCAAAUUUCAUCUUUUUGCAAAGAUAUAAUUUUAAGUUAAGACAUAAUAAGAGCAUAAUUUCACAAGACUCAACAUAAGCCUUAACAUCUUAUGCAAAAGUAGGUCAGCUUGUUUUCAAUGUGAGACCAUUAAAACAAUCAAAUUCAAUUGACCAAUUGCAUAUGCAGUUUAGCAUUUCAAAUAAAAUAAUAAAAUGCUAGCAGAGGAAAUAGACGUGAAAUGAAACUCGAGAACUAUGUAAAUUCUAAAGAGGAAAUGCCAAAGGUCAUGUCCUUGUUAGAGAAUAAUUGAUAGAAUUGACAAGAGGGAAAGGACAGGUACAUUAAAUAAAAGAAUUUUACUUUGAACAAGCUGGGCUUCCGCAGUCAAUUCGGCCAUAUUGCUUAACCUGUUCAAUCAAUUCAUAAACCAUAAGAACAGCAUCAAAUUACCUUUCACGGCAAAAAUUGAAAUGGAAAGAGGUACAAGCAAUGAGAAGGUCUGUUUCAGUAGAUUCUUCAAUUAGUUCAAGUAUUGGACUUGAUAUUGCUAUGUUAUCAAGAAUUAGUACACGUGAAAUGGGUUGUGUUGAAGCUGUUGGUGAAAAAUUCAAGUUCAAUGGCGUUGUCUCUACAUAAAGAGCCUUUUAUGAUUAAGAGAUCAUUUUCAUAUGGUGGUAGGUCUGUUUCUUCUCAAGACAUAAUCGUAGCUCCAGUUCAGUACUUCCAUUGUGAAACACCUUUAGUUUCUUUCAUACAACACUAGCUAGGAUAAUGUGGAAGUUGAAGGAACAAUGUUCUUUUCUUAGUGAGAUUUAAGAUCCU